This is a long non-coding RNA of Suricata suricatta (meerkat), 514 nucleotides long. RefSeq lists it as uncharacterized. The transcript has 2 exons. Lineage: Eukaryota; Metazoa; Chordata; Mammalia; Carnivora; Herpestidae. The record is from RefSeq and is a predicted model, not a curated record.
AGCCCACGACUGGCAUUCUGACAUCACCUCACUUUGUAGUCUCAGUGCCAAGGAUGACCUGUCUUUUGCUGUGUUUAAGCCUCAGUAAUUCAUCGAGAAGUUUUCUCAGCCCUUAAGCUCGAAAGUACAAGUGAGUCACUUCUGUGCUGAAAUGUGGAAGACACUUUAGAAAAAUCAAUGACAAGACAUUCCUGCUAUGAAACGAUGUGUCUCUAAUCUCCUGAUUUCUCAAACGUCAAGGCAUGUAGAUAAAAUCUAGUUCAUCCAUCACUUGAAACGUCCGUAUUAACAUAAAGAAAGAACACGCCAAUUGAUUAGGUCUCUUAUUUGUCAUAUGUCUUUGCUGGACAAAUAUCAAGCCAGUUAAAUCCCCCAACCAGACUCCAAGGACUCAUUUGCUCACCUGGAUUUGUAGAACUGCAAAACAUCAUGAGAAAUUUUGUGUUUCUUUCAUAAAGUGAUAAUUGUGCCCAAAAUAUAGGCAUGAUUCAAUUAAACAGUCUGACCAUCUAAA